CCUACGGGAGGCUGCAGUGGGGGAUAUUGCACAAUGGGGGAAACCCUGAUGCAGCGACGCCGCGUGUGGGAAGACGGUCCUCUGGAUUGUAAACCACUGUCACCAGGGACGAAGAUGAAGGUACCUGGGGAGGAAGCUCCGGCUAACUACGUGCCAGCAGCCGCGGUAAUACGUAGGGAGCGAGCGUUGUCCGGAAUUACUGGGUGUAACGGGAGCGUAGGCGGGACAGCAAGUUGGGUGUCAAAUCUACCGGCUCAACCGGUAGCCGCACUCAAAACUGAAGUUCUUGAGUGAAGUAGAGGCAGGCGGAAUUCCUAGUGUAGCGGUGAAAUGCGUAGAUAUUAGGAGGAACACCAGUGGCGAAGGCGGCCUGCUGGGCUUUUACUGACGCUGAGGCUCGAAAGUGUGGGGAGCAAACAGGAUUAGAUACCCUUGUAGUC
This 440-nucleotide ribosomal RNA is filed under the name uncultured bacterium. RNAcentral's name for it is "partial 16S ribosomal RNA". It matches the Rfam family "Bacterial small subunit ribosomal RNA", at positions 338 to 795 of the family's 1533-position model. The record is from RNAcentral.